This 1339-nucleotide ribosomal RNA is filed under the name uncultured bacterium. RNAcentral's name for it is "bacterial SSU rRNA". It matches the Rfam family "Bacterial small subunit ribosomal RNA", at positions 28 to 1381 of the family's 1533-position model. The record is from RNAcentral.
AACGAACGCUGGCGGCGUGCUUUACACAUGCAAGUCGAACGGAAACGCCCUGCUUUUGAGGCCUGCUAGAGUGGAAAACGGGAGAAUAACACCUGAGCAACCUGCCCUUGACUUUAUAAUUGCUCCAAGAAACUGGUGCUAAUACCUACAACCAGCUCCUGACUGGUGGGGAUCGUUGAAAAUCUCUCUCUGUAGGGGAUGGAACUCACAUCUUAUCAUCUUGGUGGUGAAGGACUGCCUUAGCAACGAUUUGACGGUGACCCGGCCUGACAAGCUGACCCGCCGCAUUGGAAAUGAGAUCCAGACCCCACUCCUACGGAACGCAGCAGAGUUUUAAUAUUGCGACAAUGGACCCUAACCUGAUGCUGCCACGCCCCGUGCGAAGAUCACCGCCUUCUAAACGGAUAUCGCUUUCGCCUGAGACUAACCGUGAAUGACCCCAAUGGGAAAACAAUCCCCGAAUAACUACCUGCCACUAACCACGUGGAUACAUACGCUGCAAUCCUUGUCCUGAUAUAUUGAAUCUAAAUUACUCGUAGGAGAUUGAUCGCAUCCGACUUGUCAUCAUGGAUCUUAACUCUGAGCGCGCUUUCUAUACACUGUGACUUGAACAACGUAGGGGGAUGGAAUUCCGCGUGUAGCAGUGAAAUGCGUAGAUAUGCGGAGGAACACCAAUGGCGAAGGCAAUCCCCUGGGCCUGUACUGACGCUCAUGCACGAAAGCGUGGGGAGCAAACAGGAUUAGAUACCCUGGUAGUCCACGCCCUAAACGAUGUCAACUGGUUGUUGGACGGCUUGCUGUUCAGUAACGAAGCUAACGCGUGAAGUUGACCGCCUGGGGAGUACGGCCGCCAGGUUGAAACUCAAAGGAAUUGACGGGGACCCGCACAAGCGGUGGAUGAUGUGGUUUAAUUCUAUGCAGCGCGAAAAACCUUACCUACCCUUGACAUGUCAAGAAUUCUGCACAGAUGUGGAAGUGCUCCAAAGAGAACUUGAACACAGGUGCUGCAUGGCCGUCGUCAGCUCGUGUCGUGAGAUGUUGGGUUAAGUCCCGCAACGAGCGCAACCCUUGUCAUUAGUUGCUACGCAAGAGCACUCUAAUGAGACUGCCGGUGACAAACCGGAGGAAGGGGGGGAUGACGUCAGGUCCUCAUGGCCCUUAUGGGUAGGGCUACACACGUCAUACAAUGGCCGGUACAGAGGGCUGCCAACCCGCGAGGGGGAGCCAAUCCCAGAAAACCGGUUUCAGUUCGGAAUGGGGUUUGCCACUUGGCCUCAGGAAGUUGGAGUCGGUUGUAAUUGCAGAUCAGCAUCGCUGCGGUGAAUACGUUCCCGGGUCU